GACGAACGCUGGCGGCGUGCCUAAUACAUGCAAGUUGAGCGAUGAAGAUUGGUGCUUGCACCAAUUUGAAGAGCAGCGAACGGGUGAGUAACGCGUGGGGAAUCUGCCUUUGAGCGGGGGACAACAUUUGGAAACGAAUGCUAAUACCGCAUAACAACUUUAAACAUAAGUUUUAAGUUUGAAAGAUGCAAUUGCAUCACUCAAAGAUGAUCCCGCGUUGUAUUAGCUAUUGGUGAGGUAAAGGCUCACCAAGGCGAUGAUACAUAGCCGACCUGAGAGGGUGAUCGGCCACAUUGGGACUGAGACACGGCCCAAACUCCUACGGGAGGCAGCAGUAGGGAAUCUUCGGCAAUGGACGAAAGUCUGACCGAGCAACGCCGCGUGAGUGAAGAAGGUUUUCGGAUCGUAAAACUCUGUUGGUAGAGAAGAACGUUGGUGAGAGUGGAAAGCUCAUCAAGUGACGGUAACUACCCAGAAAGGGACGGCUAACUACGUG
This 496-nucleotide ribosomal RNA is filed under the name uncultured bacterium. RNAcentral's name for it is "partial 16S ribosomal RNA". It matches the Rfam family "Bacterial small subunit ribosomal RNA", at positions 28 to 507 of the family's 1533-position model. The record is from RNAcentral.